This 464-nucleotide ribosomal RNA is filed under the name uncultured bacterium. RNAcentral describes it as "bacterial SSU rRNA". It matches the Rfam family "Bacterial small subunit ribosomal RNA", at positions 338 to 795 of the family's 1533-position model. The record is from RNAcentral.
CCUACGGGAUGCACCAGUGGGGAAAAUUGCACAAUGGGCGCAAGCCUGAUGCAGCCAUGCCGCGUGUAUGAAGAAGGCCUUCGGGUUGUAAAGUACUUUCAGCGGGGAGGAAGGUGUUGUGGUUAAUAACCACAGCAAUUGACGUUACCCGCAGGAGAAGCACCGGCUAACUCCGUGCCAGCAGCCGCGGUAAUACGGAGGGUGCAAGCGUUAAUCGGAAUUACUGGCGUAAAGCGCACGCAGGCGGUCUGUCAAGUCGGAUGUGAAAUCCCCGGGCUCAACCUGGGAACUGCAUUCGAAACUGGCAGGCUAGGGUCUUGUAGAGGGGGGUAGAAUUCCAGGUGUAGCGGUGAAAUGCGUAGAGAUCUGGAGGAAUACCGGUGGCGAAGGCGGCCCCCUGGACAAAGACUGACGCUCAGGUGCGAAAGCGUGGGGAGCAAACAGGAUUAGAUACCCUCGUAGUC